UGGGAAUGCAUGGAUGUGGUGCGGAAUCUGAUCCCAUAGCCAAUGCCGAGGUUGACCCCAUGGGAGGAGUUUUUGAAGGUGGAGUUGGUAUUGGUAACAAAACUGCUCUACGGAGAUCACCAAUCGAUGAGGUUCAAAAUAAGCUUAGGCAGGAGUAUGAUUUCCUAGAGGAAAAGAGAAGAGAGUUAGAAUUUCUUGCGCAAGGUGGUGAUCCACUGGAUUUCAAAUUUGGGAAUGCUACUUCACUUAGUGUUCAGUCCACUUCUCUGACAGAUCAACAUCCAGAUCAGUUUGUGACCA
This 300-nucleotide unclassified non-coding RNA is filed under the name Hevea brasiliensis (rubber tree). Lineage: Eukaryota; Viridiplantae; Streptophyta; Magnoliopsida; Malpighiales; Euphorbiaceae. The record is from RNAcentral.